Molecule: ribosomal RNA, 443 nt
Filed under: Ophryotrocha scutellus
Lineage: Eukaryota; Metazoa; Annelida; Polychaeta; Eunicida; Dorvilleidae
Description: partial 16S ribosomal RNA
Rfam family: Bacterial large subunit ribosomal RNA
Source: RNAcentral
AAGAUGAGAGGUGAUUCCUGCCCAGUGAAAUUUCAACGGCCGCUUAUGUGCUAAGGUAGCAUAAUAACUUGCCUUUUAAUUGAAGGCUUGCAUGAAUGGAGUUUUAGAUUGAGGCUUUAUUCACACCACCCAUAAAACCUAAGAUUUAUGUGCAAACUCAUAAAUAAAAAUAAAAGACCAAAAGACCCCGGGAACUUUAAUUUUUCUAUUUAUUGAUAAAUACAAAAUUUACACUGGGAGAGUGCGGGAUAUACAUCCCCAAUAAUACAAAAUUCACCUUUUAAAUCAAUACUAAAGCUACCCCGGGGAUAACAGGCUACUCUUUUUUCAAAGCCCAAAUUUACAAAAAGAUUUAGCACCUCGAUGUUGGCUUAAGAGUAAGUAAAAUGUAGCAGUUUUACUUAAUGGCUUGUUCCGCCAAUAAUUUCUUACGUGAUCUGAGU